Molecule: unclassified non-coding RNA, 344 nt
Filed under: Hevea brasiliensis (rubber tree)
Lineage: Eukaryota; Viridiplantae; Streptophyta; Magnoliopsida; Malpighiales; Euphorbiaceae
Source: RNAcentral
GCUGUAGCUUCGAUUUCUCUUCUUCCGGCGUCAAUUUUUGGUGUUGAUUCCGGCCAGUUACUGCUUCUUCUUGGUCGAUUUCCAGAGAUUAACCAUGAUUAAUGCUAUCAAGGCUGCGAUCGGCGAUGCCGUUCUCACUUCCAUGUGGAUUUUCUGUGCUUCGUCUCUUGGGGUUCUCACUUCCGUCCUGUCCUCGGCAGCCGGUGUUUAUGGCCUUACGCUUCACCCGCUUCUUAUCGUUACUACUCUUGUCUUCCUCCUUGUUUUCAUUUUUAAUAUAAUUGGUGCUGCUUUGGGUGGGGCUAGCUUUAAUCCCACUGGUACUGCUGCUUUCUAUGCUGCCG